GGGCAAUAAUCUUGGUCUCUCUGAUUCUGUAUCACUUCCUUUCCCUUAGGGAGACUCCAGUAGCAGUGUCAGCAGUACUCCAAGCUCCUAUGCAAGGGCAACAACCCCAGAAGCAACCACUAGUGGAAACAGAAACCAGGCAUCUACAUCAUCAUCAUCAUCAUCCUCUGGCAGUGGUGGAAAUAAUGGUGGCGUCCAAGGGGUGAGUGAGUGAGUGUGUGUGUGUGUGUGUGUGUUGGGAAGGGCAGUUCAGGCUAUCUGGGUGUUGGAAUUAAAGACUAGGGGCUGGAACUAGAUUAAGGUUUAAGAUUGGGGUUCAAGAUCUGAUGCAGAGGACUCAGCCCCCAUUUGGCAUUCAGAUGGCUUGGGGUUGUGCCUGAAUUCCUGGGAUUUUAUGGCCUUGGUUUAUAGUGUCCACAUCCCACCGCUAAAACUUUGUUCUCUUUUCUCUUCCCAGUGCGAGAACCCAAGCGGUGGACAACAGGGAGGCAGCUCUCCCAACAGUGGGCAGCCUGGAUCAGGCUCUUCAAGUGGAUCUAACAACUGGGGAGGCAGCUCUUCCAACAGUGGGCAGCCUGGAUCAGGCUCUUCAAGUGGAUCUAACAACUGGGGAGGCAGCUCUUCCAGCAAUGGGCAGCCUGGAUCUGGCUCUGCAAAUGGAUAUAACUGGGGGACUAAUUCAGGGUUACCUUCAGCAGGAGGGAAUGGCGGUUCUGGAAUUAAUGGUGUG
Long non-coding RNA from Monodelphis domestica (gray short-tailed opossum), 730 nucleotides. The record is from Ensembl. Lineage: Eukaryota; Metazoa; Chordata; Mammalia; Didelphimorphia; Didelphidae.